This 279-nucleotide unclassified non-coding RNA is filed under the name plant metagenome. RNAcentral's name for it is "partial contains small subunit ribosomal RNA, internal transcribed spacer 1, and 5.8S ribosomal RNA". The record is from RNAcentral.
UUUCCGUAGGUGAACCUGCGGAAGGAUCAUUAUCGUACACAAUGUGAUGCGCAUUCCAGGGCUGUCGCCGUCCCAUAACACGUGCACAACCGCGUGUGUCCUCUUGCAUAUUCACCCAUCUCACCCUCUGUGCAUCACCGCGUGUGCCCCCUUCGGGAUCAUCACGCUGAAUUGCUCGCGUAUACACAUACAUCCCCCUUUUAAAAGUGUAGAAUCUCCACAUUUACGCAAACCACAAAACUUUCAACAACGGAUCCCUUGGUUCUCACAUCGAUGUAG